This 467-nucleotide ribosomal RNA is filed under the name uncultured bacterium. RNAcentral's name for it is "partial 16S ribosomal RNA". It matches the Rfam family "Bacterial small subunit ribosomal RNA", at positions 28 to 507 of the family's 1533-position model. The record is from RNAcentral.
GACGAACGCUGGCGGCGUGCUUAACACAUGCAAGUCGAACGGAAAGGCCCUGCUUUUGUGGGGUGCUCGAGUGGCGAACGGGUGAGUAACACGUGAGUAACCUGCCCUUGACUUUGGGAUAACUUCAGGAAACUGGGGCUAAUACCGGAUAGGAGCUCCUGCUGCAUGGUGGGGGUUGGAAAGUUUCGGCGGUUGGGGAUGGACUCGCGGCUUAUCAGCUUGUUGGUGGGGUAGUGGCUUACCAAGGCUUUGACGGGUAGCCGGCCUGAGAGGGUGACCGGCAACAUGGGAACUGGGAUACGGCCAGACUCCUACGGGAGGCAGCAGUGGGGAAUAUUGCACAAUGGGCGGAAGCCUGAUGCAGCAACGCCGCGUGCGGGAUGACGGCCUUCGGGUUGUAAACCGCUUUCGCCUGUGACGAAGCGUGAGUGACGGUAAUGGGUAAAGAAGCACCGGCUAACUACGUG